CAAAUGCGCAGUAUAAGGGCUUAUUUAGUAUUAUGGUAGUUGGUUAUGUUAAAAGCUAACCAAGCCUUAGAUGCUUAGCAGGCUUUAACGAGUGAUCUGCCACAACGGGCUUGAAAUAGUGACCUGAACAUUUAUGGCAGCAGUAAAGAAUCUUGGGCAAUGCAUUCAAGUGUGACCCAGCAAGUCUCCGUGGAUGAUGAAGAUAAUUAAAUUAUAUUGUAAAAAUUCUAUCUUUUUAUAUUUAUAAUGAAAUAUAAAAAGGAAAGCUACAGGCUAAAUUCGUGCCAGCAGCCGCGGUAAUACGGAUUGUGCAAGUCUUUGACCUCGUGACUAGGUGUAAAAGGCCACAUAGGAGGUUAUAUAAGUUAUUGAGUAAAUACAGGGUAUAAACCUUGGAAUCUCAAUAAAACUUUAUAACUAGAAUAUAAAGGGGUUUAAGAUAUCUUCUAAGUAAAGGUGAAAUUUGUAGAAAUAGAAGGG
RNAcentral lists this ribosomal RNA (480 nucleotides) under uncultured bacterium. RNAcentral's name for it is "bacterial SSU rRNA". It matches the Rfam family "Bacterial small subunit ribosomal RNA", at positions 210 to 704 of the family's 1533-position model. The record is from RNAcentral.